GUCUACAGCCAUACCACCCUGAAUGCACCUGAUCUUGUCUGAUUUUGGAAGCUAAGCAGGGUGGGGCCUGGUUAGUACUUGGAGGGGAGACUGCCUGGGAAUACCGGGUGCUAUAGGCU
Ribosomal RNA from Loxodonta africana (African savanna elephant), 119 nucleotides. The record is from Ensembl. Lineage: Eukaryota; Metazoa; Chordata; Mammalia; Proboscidea; Elephantidae.